CAUUGUCGCCUGAGACCAGGUUAAGCCACACCAAUGGGUUGUGGUCAGUCAUUAAGGUAAACUCUCGGCCAUACAGAUAAGGGGUCAGUUUCUUCAAGUCCCACACCAGGGCUAAACAUUCCUUUCUCCACUGUCACAUAGCUCACCUCUCGGGGUAACAGCUUCCUAUUGAAGUACGCGACAGGAUGUUCUGCUUCAUCUUCUCCCACUUGGCUUAGAAUGGCCCCCAGCCAGAAAAUAGAAGCGUCUGUGUGGACAACAAAGUGUUUGUCAAGGGAUGGGGCAGCACUGUUCCUGGUGCGGGGUGUGGGCCACUUAACGACGGUCUCAAUCUUAGCAGUUUCAGGUCGCUUUUUCCCACACCCCACCCGGUGUUCCAGGUACCGGACUUCGGCCAUCCCAAGAUGACAUUUGUCUGGCUUCAGAGUCAGGCUGGCUGCCUGAAUCUGAUCCAGCACUGCCCCUACAUGCCUUAAGUGUUCCUCCCAGGACUCACUGUAGAUCGCAGUGUCAUCCAGGUACACACAGGCGAAAUCCUGGAAGCCACCGAGGAGUCUAUCCACCAAGUGUUGAAAGGUAGCUGGGGCGUUUUUUUCAUCCCGAAUAGCAUGACCUUAAAUUGGUACAGGCCAACUUGGGGAUAGCCUCCUCGGCCAGGGGAAUCUGCCAGUUACCUUUGCAGAGAUAAGUGAUGUCCUUUUCCUCCUAGAGUAGAGAGCGCGGAGGUAUUCCCAACCAUCAAUCCAAGCAGUGAAGAAGUAGGUAUAGCUGUGAAGCUCUUAUAGCAAGUCCCUACAAACACAAAGAGAGGCUCUAUGUUGAGGAUAAAACUGGGCUGGUUUAAUAGUAGCCACACUGGUCUUUUAUGCAAUUCUCCAUGCAAGGGAUACGCCCAUAUGGACCUUGUUGGGGACUGUGACACAAAUUUAGAAACCAAUAUUAACGGAGUU
Molecule: non-coding RNA, 950 nt
Organism: Pelobates cultripes (western spadefoot toad)
Lineage: Eukaryota; Metazoa; Chordata; Amphibia; Anura; Pelobatidae
Source: the annotation of a GenBank genome assembly